Non-coding RNA from Pelobates cultripes (western spadefoot toad), 219 nucleotides. The record is from the annotation of a GenBank genome assembly. NCBI's taxonomy places the organism in Eukaryota, Metazoa, Chordata, Amphibia, Anura, Pelobatidae.
GUUCAGCCUAUGUAACUAUGACCCGCUGCUUGCAAUGUCUGCCCUCAGACGGAAUCUGCUGUGCAGGCUCUUGCCAUGUGACAACUGCUGCUGGUAGGCAGCACCUGCUCUGGCAACCUGGGAGUGCUCUGUGUGCCGUCUGUCACACAGAGCAGACCACUCUCCUAGCCUCCCUUUCCCCCUUUCCCCCAGGUAAGGCAAGCUAUCGCUGUUAAAGAG